RNAcentral lists this ribosomal RNA (242 nucleotides) under uncultured bacterium. RNAcentral describes it as "partial 16S ribosomal RNA". It matches the Rfam family "Bacterial small subunit ribosomal RNA", at positions 15 to 248 of the family's 1533-position model. The record is from RNAcentral.
GAUAAUGGCUCAGGAUGAACGCUAGCUACAGGCUUAACACAUGCAAGUCGAGGGGCGAGCAUGAACUUAGCUUGCUAAGUUUGAUGGCGACCGGCGCACGGGUGAGUAACACGUAUCCAACCUGCCGAUGACUCGGGGAUAGCCUUUCGAAAGAAAGAUUAAUACCCGAUGGCAUAGUUCUUCCGCAUGGUAGAACUAUUAAAGAAUUUCGGUCAUCGAUGGGGAUGCGUUCCAUUAGGUUG